GCCUGAGUGGUGGAAUGGUAUACACGUAACACUUAAAAUGUUAUGGGCGCAAGCCCAUGUGGGUUCGAGUCCCACCUCAGGCA
RNAcentral lists this transfer RNA (83 nucleotides) under Candidatus Terrybacteria bacterium RIFCSPHIGHO2_02_41_19. RNAcentral describes it as "tRNA-Leu". It matches the Rfam family "tRNA". Rfam says of the family: Transfer RNA (tRNA) molecules are approximately 80 nucleotides in length. Their secondary structure includes four short double-helical elements and three loops (D, anti-codon, and T loops). Further hydrogen bonds mediate the characteristic L-shaped molecular structure. tRNAs have two regions of fundamental functional importance: the anti-codon, which is responsible for specific mRNA codon recognition, and the 3' end, to which the tRNAs corresponding amino acid is attached (by aminoacyl-tRNA synthetases). tRNAs cope with the degeneracy of the genetic code in two manners: having more than one tRNA (with a specific anti-codon) for a particular amino acid; and 'wobble' base-pairing, i.e. permitting non-standard base-pairing at the 3rd anti-codon position. RNAcentral also lists the same sequence under 1 other name. Lineage: Bacteria; Candidatus Terryibacteriota. The record is from RNAcentral.